Non-coding RNA from Danio rerio (zebrafish), 855 nucleotides. NCBI's taxonomy places the organism in Eukaryota, Metazoa, Chordata, Actinopteri, Cypriniformes, Danionidae. The record is from Ensembl.
AAAAAUGGGAGUUUCCAUUUGGGCACGCGCUGAUUUUCACCGAGGCAAAACAAACACACACACAGGGGAGAAAGACAGUGACUGUGUUUAAUGACGGUGGAAUGUUUGAUACUGCACGUCGCUUAAGAGAAAAAAUCUCUGCAUUUCUCUGUAAAAAGCCAUGUGUGUAUAGACUAUCCGGUCACAAAAUGCGACGAAAAUAAACACGACGGUCUGUAAUAGUUUGCUUGCAGUGUUCACAUGUUCACACUUGGAGAGCAGCAUUUACAGCAAAUCUUUCAGUCCAUAAUAUUGUAGUGAUGUUAACGUAAACUAAGUAACUUAGAAAUCAUUUGACUAAGGUCUGUCUUUAAACACUGAAAGAGUACUGCUGACGAUACGAACUAUAACUUUGCCAUAUGAAUGAACAAAGAAAGGGCACUGAUCGCACGCACUUACCAAAUCUGUAGAGACAGGACAAUCAACACCAUCUGGAGCCGUGUCUUUUUUAAAAGGAGACAAGCAGCAAAUCCGGAUUUCACCAUUUCCAGAUGAGAAAAGCUCUUGAGUAAAAAAUGUUCUGUACAAACAUAUUUCUGCCGCGUGUCGUGUGCACUGAUCCACACAUGAGUCCAGUUGCGCUCUCAUAGCUGGAGAAUGAAAACAAAACCUUCGUUGCAGCACAUUAUAAACAAUAAUAAUAAUAAAGUUUUUUAUUCCUUCCCCACUUCUUUUGGCAACAUAACGUGGCGUCCCUGUUGCUGAACACUGUUUCAGGUACAAACAGUCUUCGAAGCUUGUAUGCAUAUUAAUGAAGUUGCUCGCAUACAGAGCUCGCUGAUUGGUUUGAAACAAGUCUUACUCAUGAAUGAAUGC